GGAAGCAGGCGGUGCAUCAUGGCCUCUCCCAUUUUGAAGAGACCCUUGUCCAGCAGGCUGAGGCAAAGAGGAAGUCCCAAAACCAACAAAAUCAGGGAGCUGGACAGGGAACAGACUGUAUUUGUCUUCAGUGUGGAAGGGAUUGUCACUCUCAAAUUGGCCUUCUCAGCCACACUAGAUGCUGUUUCAAGUCCUCCAUAUUAGAGAGCAUGUUACCAUAGUCUCUUGAGACUGAAAGAUGCUUAAUCAUCAUUGUGCUAUAAUGCUUCUUUCUGUGCGUCAGUCCUGACAUCUUAUUUUGUAAUCUGCAGACACAUAAAGAUCUCCCAGUCUACAAAGCUGAGCAGUAGCAGACAGUCAGGUAUUAAUAACUAGAGUAUGAUUUAAUCUGUGAGUUUCAUGUCAAAUAGCAAACAAAACAUAAUCCUCAAUGAGUCCUAAUCUAGUUGGGGCUAGACCUGCUAGUGGGCUGCAUUUCACAAAAACUGAGAUCAGAUAAAUUAUAAGUUUUUUACAGGCCACAAGACUGUAUGCACAUGCUUUUGUUUUGCAUCCUAGACACAAAUUUGAUUUUAUUAUUUAAAUCCGGGAAAACAAUCACCUGUAGCCAGCCAAAGCACAGUGAAGUUAGCCGGGAGAGGAAUCCCACUGAGCUGACGGACUGCAGGACACAUCUAUAACAACGAGAAAGAAACAAUCCUUUUUUUUUUUUAAGGGAAACAGGCUCGCUGCUUUGAGUGGCUUGUGCUCCUCCGAAAAGGGCCCCCCUCCAUGCCUCAUGCUUUCUUUGCCAAGACCCCCCUCCCUUGGUUUGCCACCGGUGGACCCUCCGCUUCUGAUUUCCCUGCCUUUGCCAGCGCCUCGCUUGCUUUGCCUUCCCCUCACCCUUGCCUCGUCCGGGGCCAGCGCCGCUACCGGCUCCGGCAACGCCUCCGCCUCUCCUCCAGCCACUCCGGUGGAGCCAGCCUCCUCCUCUCCAGAACAGCAGCCAGCUCCCCAGUCCCAUUGAGUUUCUCAGGGGAGUCGAUCCUUUGCUUGGGAAAAAAAAGCACCAGGAGCUGUGAGCGGCCGGUGCUUCUGCAAAGAGGGCUGCAAGCCAGCGGCAGCAGCGCGGGUGUCAGGAUGGGGAAGUUACCAUUGAGGACAGGUGAGCAAGCCAACUUUCUUCCGGUAUAGUUAAUUAACUAGUAUUUCUGUAUAAUUUAUAAAGUUCAUUAAAUAAGAAUUGAUUUUAGAUUUCUUAUUUAAAAAGCAAAACAUUUCAAAUGAGGGGUUGGCAAGAUUGGAACGGACAUCAAGGAAGAAUGUAACUAUUUUCUCUCCAGUGUUGCCUUCUGCACUAAUAUAUGAGUGGAUAUAUUGCUGUAUCUCAGUGUUGCUGCAGAGGAAGAAGGGGUUGAAAUUUUCCCUUCGUAGCUCAGAGUUAUGCUUCAGAGAGGUCUGAUUGGUCAUCUACAAUAUUUUGCACUAAACAGAUUACACUUAUGAAUAACCUUUCAAAACUCAUUCCUUAAAUUGGCCCCUUAAAAUUUUCUCUCUGCAGGUUUCAUAAUUAUGUUGACUCUGUGACUAGGUAUGAAUAAUGUCACUUGGGCUUACUUAUUGAGGAGUGGUUCUAAAAGUGUAUCUCAUCCGUUCAUUUCUGGGGGCUGAGUAGGAGAAUGGAGGCACUCUGGAGGUUGUUGGACUGCAGUAGCCAGCCAGUAUAAGGAGUAGCCGGCAUUGCCAGUGUUGGAGGAUAAAUGGAGUUGCAGUGCAGUCUAGCAAAGUACAUGUUGGAGUUUUGUUUGCAACCUCUCAUGCUGUUUGUGGUUUGUGCGACUGGGAAGGACAUUUCUGGCACAAUUAUAUAUUUAUCCAGCACUAACCAAUCAAUCUUUCCAGCCUUUGAUUCAAAGAGAGUCCUGCCUUUCUACUGAGUGUCUUUUUCGCUCUCUUUCCUUGGAUAGCAGCAGUUGUUUGCUUGCUGUUGAUCUGUUCAGUUAGUUGCCAGUAUGACUGCAGGAAAGAAAGCAAUAUGCACAAGCCAGUAAUUUCAACCAACUGUAAGUAAAGAUAUGUUUUUAUUCUUUCUCCUACAAAUGUCUCAGUGAUUUAUUGAGAUGGUUGUUGUGGGUUUUUUGGGCUCUUUGGCUGUGUUCUGAAGGUUGUUCUUCCUAACAUUUUGCCAGUCUCUGUGGCCGGCAUCUUCAGAGAACAGCACUCUGUGCGCUGAAGAUGCCGGCCACAGAGACUGGCGAAACGUUAGGAAGAACAACCUUCAGAACACAGCCAAAGAGACUGAAAAACCCACAACAACCAUUAGAUCCCGGCCGUGAAAGCCUUCGCGAAUAGAUUUAUUGAGACUUUAGAUGCCAGUUUAUGAGAAAGGGAUGGAGUUUGGGGAACUUGUAGCUAUUAUCUGUGAAUCUCUGUACUUCUAUGGCAUAGAAAAAGGAAUUUUACCAGAAAUUCAAAACAUUGCAAUGCAUGUUGCCCACCUCUGGUCUAAUCCAUGGCCUGGCUCUUGGCCACACCUUCCAGUUCAGGCAACUCUCAUGUUCAGCCUGUGGUGAGUAAACACUGAAGGCACAAUUCUGCCAUCAUACAGGUUUAAGAAAAUGUGUUUUAUGUUGUUUGUAGCACAUCCCUUUCUAAAUCUUUGAACAAAACUGCUUGUUGGCUCUGUGUCUUUUACUUUGUCAGGAGACAGUACAGUAUUUCUAAUACAAAAGAAAGCAAACCUCAGGACUCUGUGCACGUGCUUUUAUCCAUUGCAACAAAUCUGCUGUUUUCUGUUUCCAGCUUCUGCCUACAAGCUGGUGUGUUAUGUCACUAACUGGGAUCAAUACAGGAAAGGAUCAGCCAAGUUCACACCAGAUAAUGUAGACCCUUACUUGUGUACCCAUCUGAUCUUUGCUUUUGCUGGCAUACAAAAUAACCAAAUUACUACUACAGAAUGGAAUGAUGAAUUACUUUACAGGCAGCUCAAUGCCUUAAAGAAGAAGUAAGUAGCUAUCAAAAUUAGAGUAUUUCUACAAUGAUGAUGUUGCCUGCUUGCUUGACAACUUAACCAAACCAGGGGCGUUAUGUGCAUAUUUUCUUUUGUUUGUUUCUUUGCUUGUUCAGCUAUACAGCCAAGGCUUCUAUGAUGUUAUCUCAAAAGACUGAGUGUGGCUGUGGAAAUCAGAAGUUUGAAAUCUCAUGUUUAAUGCACAUUAGAUAGUUGGCUUUGGCUGUAGCUCUUUUAGGUUAAAAUUUGGAUGCUUCCAAAUGGAUAGGCCCUAGAGCUACUAUUCAAAGCACACGUAUGUCUAUUCUGCUUUUCCUUCUUUUAUGAAUUGGUGUGUGUGUGUAUGUGUGAAAUGAAACACAAAGGAAGAGGGUGGGGAAAUGCAAGAAGUGGUUUUAAAAUGGAAUUGUGAAAUCCCACAAGUUCCUUGAAUGAAGGGUAGGCAAUUACACAAUAAAGACAUUGAAAGCAUUCCUACUGGCA
Molecule: long non-coding RNA, 3475 nt
Filed under: Pogona vitticeps (central bearded dragon)
Lineage: Eukaryota; Metazoa; Chordata; Lepidosauria; Squamata; Agamidae
Description: lncRNA (ENSPVIG00000010444.1)
Source: RNAcentral